UGGAUUUCUGGGAGGGUGCCAUGUCCGCCGACGUGCGUGCGCAGCGGCGCCCUCUCAUCCUUCUGUUAACGUCUCUCGGCAUUCAUUUGCCGGUGGCGGGCUCAGAUAUUUACCUGAGAAAAUUAGAGUGUUUCAGGCAAGGCUAGGCCCCGGAAUUAACAUUAGCCAUGGAAAUUAAAAUGGAAUAGGACUUCGGUCUCUCUGUUGGUUUGAGGGACUGCAGUAAUGAUUAAUAGGGAUAGUUGGGGGCAUUAGUAUUUAAUUGUCAGAGGUGGAAUUCUCGGAUUUGUUAAAGACUAACUUAUGCGAAAGCAUUUGCCAAGGAUGUUUUCAUUAAUCAAGAACGAA
Molecule: ribosomal RNA, 348 nt
Filed under: uncultured eukaryote
Lineage: Eukaryota
Description: bacterial SSU rRNA
Rfam family: Eukaryotic small subunit ribosomal RNA
Source: RNAcentral